UGAAGUACGUACUUGUUACUGGUGGUGGUGUUAGUGGUCUGGGAAAAGGGGUUACCGCUAGCAGUAUCAGUCUUCUUCUUAAAUCUUGCGGCUUUCGUGUCACUUCCAUUAAGAUUGAUCCUUAUCUCAAUACUGAUGCGGGUACAAUGUCCC
This is a long non-coding RNA of Hibiscus syriacus, 153 nucleotides long. RefSeq lists it as uncharacterized. The transcript has 3 exons. NCBI's taxonomy places the organism in Eukaryota, Viridiplantae, Streptophyta, Magnoliopsida, Malvales, Malvaceae. The record is from RefSeq and is a predicted model, not a curated record.